AGCGCCAUGCUGCGAUUACAACACCCCGGGAGAUGAUGGAGCGGUCCUCGCUUGGCUCGCCAGCUUAAGAUGCCGCUGGGGAAGGAAAGCAAAAUGAAAGGCUGGUUGCAACAGGCGAUGAACCGGCGGCGUUGGGGAAACAAGUCCCGCCAGAGACUUGAGUUAUCUAUGGAGGGCCCCAGAGUUUGUCGGGAGACUCAGGGAGGGCAGAUGAAAUAAAAGCUCUCCUCUACCUCGCUGCACAUCGUUAACUUGCGGAACUCACUGCCACAAACUUGGCCACCAAAGUCGGAUGGCUUUUAAAAAGGAACAAGUGAAAUCAUCAACUGGGAAAUGGAUACAGGACGCAAGAUUGAAAUGGCAGCCUGGGAACGACUGCGGAAGCGCCCCAAAUGAUUUAUGCCCAGGGAUGGAAAAAGGAUAACAUCCCAAAGAAAUAUGGCAGCAAAAAUUGUUGGAAUAUGCAGAAACGACGAAACUUAAUGGAAGAAUAAGAAACCAAGAAGACGUUUUUCAUUCAGAGUGGAAAUAGUUUUAUUGAAUAUUUAAAACGUUAUUGUAAACAGAUUAAAUCAUUACCAGGAUUGAUAUAACGACGUAAUGAAAAAUAAUAAUUUUGAGUAUAUUGGAUAAAGAAUAAUUAGCUUUAACUUGGAUAUGCAGUGAAAAUAAUAAAAUAUAAGCAACUGCAGAAGGGGCGUCGAAAUCGGGUUUUUAAAUGUAAGAAAUAAAUCAAUUGGGGGGGAUGAAUGUACAAGUUCAUAGAGGAACUCUUCAUGGCGAGAGAACUGUUCACAAAGCAGAAAUGGCUUUUGAACACCAGGUGCCGGAAGCCACAGGAGAGAAGAGGGCUGCUUUUGUGUUCGAAUCCUGCUUGCUGGGGCAUCCAGAUGGCUUUUCUGACAUUCUUAGUUCCCCCUUAAAGGUCCCCUUUAAAGGGACGCGGGUGGCGCUGUGGGUUAAACCACAGAGCCUAGGACUUACCGAUCAGAAGAUCGGUGGUUCGAAUCCCUGCAACA
This is a non-coding RNA of Podarcis muralis (Common wall lizard), 1019 nucleotides long. NCBI's taxonomy places the organism in Eukaryota, Metazoa, Chordata, Lepidosauria, Squamata, Lacertidae. The record is from RefSeq and is a predicted model, not a curated record.